AUUCUCUUCUUCCUGUUAUUGGUGGUUAUGAAGGUUAGAUAUUUUUUUCCAUGGGGUCAAAAGAUACCUAAGUGUAUGAUUGCAAGUGGAAAAAUAGGGGAUAGAAAUCAGGUAAUGGCAUUUUUUCAAUUUUCAUUUGUGUGUAAAUUUUUAAUAUAAAUGUGGAGAUGUAAAGCAUUAAUGCAAGUUAAAAUGUUUCAGUGAACAGGUUUCAGCAGUUCAACUUUAUAAUAAUUAUAAAUAAACCUGUUAAAUUUUUCUAGACAAUGCCAGCAUUAGCAUUUUUUUAAAAACAAGUAAAUUUCUUAUUGACAGCAACUAAAUGGUGUUUGUAGCAUUUUUAUCACACAGUAGAUUCCAUCCAUUCACUAUGUUUUUCUAACUGAGUUGUCCUACAUGCAAUACAUGUUUUUAAUGUUGUCUGUCUGCUGUGCUGUUCCUGUAAGUAUGCUAUUAAAA
Molecule: long non-coding RNA, 459 nt
Filed under: Homo sapiens (human)
Lineage: Eukaryota; Metazoa; Chordata; Mammalia; Primates; Hominidae
Description: HSALNT0058510
Source: RNAcentral